This 705-nucleotide long non-coding RNA is filed under the name Salmo salar (Atlantic salmon). RNAcentral describes it as "lncRNA (ENSSSAG00000096631.1)". Lineage: Eukaryota; Metazoa; Chordata; Actinopteri; Salmoniformes; Salmonidae. The record is from RNAcentral.
UAAAUGUGUACUGUUGGGGUAACACUGUGCUAGGCCAACAAGCGGAUAAGGCAGUGAUGUAGGAACGCCGGAUGUCCCAACUCCACCAUUUCCUUCAUGCCAAACUGACUUUUUUUAUGUACAGACGUGUAAACUGGAACAUUGGUACAUUGUGGGAGGCAACCAGUCUGUCUAGAGAGACUACCAUCUGGGCCCAGUUGGUAAGCAUGUGGGCUUGUUGGUAAGAGAGCAGAGCGAUCUCAUCUGCAAAGUUCAGAUCCUUGAGUACUAAGGCCUAGAUUCAAUCCGGACCUUGGAAGAUCCGUGAUUGACAUUUAAAGUGAAUCCAGGUCUUCAUAUCAUCAAGAUAAUUUGUUUGUGCAAGGAGAGAAAGCAAAAGCAUAUACAGUCGACCCUCUACCUCCCCAUUGCCACCAGCUGAAGAUCACAUCUUCUGAUCCUCUUUCACCCAGCUGGAGGAGUUCUGAUUCUAGCUUUCCAUCAAAUGGCUACCUGCCAUUCUGCCGCCUGGCUCCGGGGAUCAUCCUCCGGAAGAUGGGUUCAUCACCAAAAUAUAUUUUCAUUAACUUUCACAUUUGCAUUCAGUUUUUGUUGUUCAUUCAGUUAAGCCUGUAUUCGAUUGAACUAAAGUACAUUUAUAUCAUAUGAAGGUUCUCAAAGAAAUCCAUUUGUCUCCUAAAAUAAACCUUUUUGAAGAAAAUUACC